AUACNUGCAGUCGAGCGGACAGAAGGGAGCUUGCUCCCGGAUGUUAGCGGCGGACGGGUGAGUAACACGUGGGUAACCUGCCUGUAAGACUGGGAUAACUCCGGGAAACCGGAGCUAAUACCGGAUAGUUCCUUGAACCGCAUGGUUCAAGGAUGAAAGACGGUUUCGGCUGUCACUUACAGAUGGACCCGCGGCGCAUUAGCUAGUUGGUGAGGUAACGGCUCACCAAGGCGACGAUGCGUAGCCGACCUGAGAGGGUGAUCGGCCACACUGGGACUGAGACACGGCCCAGACUCCUACGGGAGGCAGCAGUAGGGAAUCUUCCGCAAUGGACGAAAGUCUGACGGAGCAACGCCGCGUGAGUGAUGAAGGUUUUCGGAUCGUAAAGCUCUGUUGUUAGGGAAGAACAAGNUGCAAGAGUAACUGCUUGCACCUUGACGGUACCUAACCAGAAAGCCACGGCUAACUACGUGCCAGCAGCCGCGGUAAUACGUAGGUGGCAAGCGUUGUCCGGAAUUAUUGGGCGUAAAGGGCUCGCAGGCGGUUUCUUAAGUCUGAUGUGAAAGCCCCCGGCUCAACCGGGGAGGGUCAUUGGAAACUGGGAAACUUGAGUGCAGAAGAGGAGAGUGGAAUUCCACGUGUAGCGGUGAAAUGCGUAGAGAUGUGGAGGAACACCAGUGGCGAAGGCGACUCUCUGGUCUGUAACUGACGCUGAGGAGCGAAAGCGUGGGGAGCGAACAGGAUUAGAUACCCUGGUAGUCCACGCCGUAAACGAUGAGUGCUAAGUGUUAGGGGGUUUCCGCCCCUUAGUGCUGCAGCUAACGCAUUAAGCACUCCGCCUGGGGAGUACGGUCGCAAGACUGAAACUCAAAGGAAUUGACGGGGGCCCGCACAAGCGGUGGAGCAUGUGGUUUAAUUCGAAGCAACGCGAAGAACCUUACCAGGUCUUGACAUCCUCUGACAACCCUAGAGAUAGGGCUUUCCCUUCGGGGACAGAGUGACAGGUGGUGCAUGGUUGUCGUCAGCUCGUGUCGUGAGAUGUUGGGUUAAGUCCCGCAACGAGCGCAACCCUUGAUCUUAGUUGCCAGCAUUCAGUUGGGCACUCUAAGGUGACUGCCGGUGACAAACCGGAGGAAGGUGGGGAUGACGUCAAAUCAUCAUGCCCCUUAUGACCUGGGCUACACACGUGCUACAAUGGACAGAACAAAGGGCUGCGAGACCGCAAGGUUUAGCCAAUCCCACAAAUCUGUUCUCAGUUCGGAUCGCAGUCUGCAACUCGACUGCGUGAAGCUGGAAUCGCUAGUAAUCGCGGAUCAGCAUGCCGCGGGUGAAUACGUUCCCGGGCCUUGUACACACCGCCCGUCACACCACGAGAGUUUGCAACACCCGAAGUCGGUGAGGUAACCUUUAUGGAGCCAGCCGCCGAAGGUGGGGCAGAUGAUUGGGGUG
This 1449-nucleotide ribosomal RNA is filed under the name Bacillus aerophilus. Its description in RNAcentral is "bacterial SSU rRNA". It matches the Rfam family "Bacterial small subunit ribosomal RNA". Lineage: Bacteria; Bacillati; Bacillota; Bacilli; Caryophanales; Bacillaceae. The record is from RNAcentral.